UAAUUUCAAUAAAUUCAGUAAACUUAGUUCUCCUUGAGCUUUAAUGAAGAUUGUGUCCUGCGCCCUCCACAUGCAUCUGAGCACUAGGUUGGGUAGGGAGGCUGUUUAUUUAAAGAACUGUGAGUCCUGUGUACUUCAAAAAGAAUAAUCUGAUUUUUCUUUUCUUGAACACAGGGGAAAGAACCUGAGCAAGGUCACCUGCAAUCAGCUUUGUGAACUAAAAGCAGCUGUCCCAGGAGGAAGAAAUAUCUACAGAAUUGGUCAACUUCAGCGUUUUUGUUACGCAGGUAAGAAUGAAACAUGCUUUUAAUUUACCUUAAUUGAAUAGAUGUGGAAUUAAGUCCUAAAUCUUCCCAUUAUUCUGAGGAGCAGGAAUGACUGAAAGGGUGAAGCUUUGGACUUUUACCUCCUUAUAAAGCUUCUAUAAUCGUGUGUCCUACAUUUUCCAUUAAUGAAAACACUAUCCUCAAUUAUGUCAUUGAAAAGGAGCAAACUGGUAUAGUGCAUGAGUUAAGAAAACAUUAACUAAGAAGUUUGAUAUUUUGGGAUUUUUU
Molecule: long non-coding RNA, 554 nt
Organism: Nothoprocta perdicaria
Lineage: Eukaryota; Metazoa; Chordata; Aves; Tinamiformes; Tinamidae
Exons: 2
Source: RefSeq, a predicted model, not a curated record